RNAcentral lists this ribosomal RNA (301 nucleotides) under uncultured bacterium. RNAcentral's name for it is "partial 16S ribosomal RNA". It matches the Rfam family "Bacterial small subunit ribosomal RNA", at positions 509 to 809 of the family's 1533-position model. The record is from RNAcentral.
CAGCCGCCACGGUAAUACAGAGGGUGCAAGCGUUAAUCGGAAUUACUGGGCGUAAAGCGCGCGUAGGUGGUUCGCCAAGUUGGAUGUGAAAUCCCCGGGCUCAACCUGGGAACUGCAUCCAAAACUGGCGAGCUAGAGUAUGGUAGAGGGUGGUGGAAUUUCCUGUGUAGCGGUGAAAUGCGUAGAUAUAGGAAGGAACAUCAGUGGCGAAGGCGACCACCUGGACUGAUACUGACACUGAGGUGCGAAAGCGUGGGGAGCAAACAGGAUUAGAUACCCCCGUAGUCCCUGUCUCUUAUAA